CAGAGGUCCCGAGCGUUGUUCGGAUUUAUUGGGCGUAAAGGGUGCGUAGGCGGCGGAGUAAGUUGGGUGUGAAAUCCCGGGGGCUCAACCUCGGAAUUGCAUUCAAUACUGCUUCGCUCGAGUACCUGGAGAGGAGACUGGAAUUUACGGUGUAGCAGUGAAAUGCGUAGAUAUCGUAAGGAAGGCCGGUGGCGAAAGCGAGUCUCUGGACAGUUACUGACGCUGAUGCACGAAGGCCAGGGGAGCAAACGGGAUUAGAUACCCCGGUAGUCCUGGCAGUAAACGGUGCGCGUUUGGUGUGGGGGGAUUCGACAAUCUCCGCGCCGGAGCUAACGCGUUAAACGCGCCGCCUGGGAAAUACGGUCGCAAGAUUA
RNAcentral lists this ribosomal RNA (374 nucleotides) under uncultured organism. RNAcentral describes it as "bacterial SSU rRNA". It matches the Rfam family "Bacterial small subunit ribosomal RNA", at positions 526 to 896 of the family's 1533-position model. The record is from RNAcentral.